Neomonachus schauinslandi (Hawaiian monk seal) is the source of this 2667-nucleotide RNA transcript. It is a transcript of the gene named leucine rich repeat containing 14, with no coding region annotated. The record is from RefSeq and is a predicted model, not a curated record. Lineage: Eukaryota; Metazoa; Chordata; Mammalia; Carnivora; Phocidae. The transcript is spliced from 4 exons.
CACUGAUUGUUGCUGCUGCUGAAGUCAAUGGUAGAGCUGACGUCCAAGGACUCCAUAGUCUCAGGCAUUUACUGUAAGCCCCUUGUUAGCUUGGAUGCCUAUUCUACUGCGGACUCUAUCCACCUGAGCAGUUCCUGGCCUGGGGCCUACCGAAUCCCAUGGGUUUGAGAGUUGGUCUCUCACUGCGGUUCUCUCUAGGGGAAAAGAGGACGUUUAGACAGGUGGCAAGGACCUUGGUGGGUGAGGUUUGCUUUUUGUCUUUCUGUGAAUCUGCAGGGAUCUCCGUGCUUGGCAGUACUACUGGACGGGAGUAGUUAAGACCUGAGGGUCGGGCCUGUCUGGACUCAAGGUUCCCUGGGUCCCAGCCCUUUUUAUCUUUGCUGGUAUUUAUUAAGCUGCAUCAGUGCUUCCACUUCCUGUCCAAGGACCACCCGCAAGAGCUGGAGGAGGGUGGGAAGGUGGAUUGUGAUGCGGCUUCCAGCCCCCUAGGAGUGUCCUAUCUUCUCUAGUGCUUGUAUGUGUGUGGGGGAAGGGCCUGAGCUCUAUUCUGCUUUUGAGGAAGAGAAGGUCUCUUGAUAAACAGCUUUGUAAUUUGGGAGGCCUCAAGUACAGGCGUGUGUGGGGGGGAGGUCCUGCAGAGCAGUAGCCGUCAAAAGCACAUCCAGGCAAGCGGGUCAUGUCUGAUGCUGUGCUAUUUAUGUACCGUUUGAUGGCUACAUUUCCCUAAAGAGGCCCCAUGCUUCUGGAGGGAGGGAAGUGGGGGGCGGUCUUGUCCCUGUUCCCAUUUAGCCCAAUGCUAGGCACUUAGCACUUGCUCUUUGGUGCCACGGUCCUCCACUGAGUGUCAGCGCUGUGCCAAGUGUCAUGCUGGGCUUGCUAACUACCAGUGAUGGAGGAGGCUAUGGCCGGGUGGUGGCCUGGGGUCUGUCCUCCCCGCUGAAGGGCCCUUCCCUGCAGGUGGCUUCUUGCCUGGCCCAGCGCCAUGCACACGCUUGUGUUCCUGAGCACACGGCAGGUGCUCCAGUGCCAGCCAGCUGCCUGCCAGGCCCUGCCCCUGCUGCCUCGAGAGCUCUUCCCCCUGCUGUUCAAGGUGGCCUUCAUGGACAAGAAGACUGUUGUGCUUCGAGAGCUGGUGCACACGUGGCCCUUCCCACUGCUCAGCUUCCAGCAGCUGUUGCAGGAAUGUGCCCACUGCAGCCGGGCCUUGCUGCAAGAGCGCCCCAGCACAGAGAGCAUGCAGGCUGUGAUCCUGGGGCUGACGGCCCGGCUCCACACCCCAGAGACAGAGGCUGGCACACAGCCUCUCUGCAGGAAGCAUGCCCUGCGAGUGCUGGAUAUGACAGGCCUCCUGGACGAUGGCGUGGAGCAGGACCCUGGCACCAUGAGCAUGUGGGACUGCACAGCAGCGGUGGCCCGCACCUGCAUAGCACAGCAGCAGGGUGGGACUGCGGAGCCUGGGCUGGCCCCCAUUCCUGUGGAGGUUCGUGUGGACCUGCGGGUGAACCGGGCCUCGUAUGCGUUCCUGCGGGAGGCACUGCGAAGCAGCGUAGGCAGUCCCCUGCGGCUCUGCUGCCGGGACCUGCGGGCUGAGGACCUGCCCAUGCGCAACACUGUGGCUUUGCUGCAGCUGCUGGAUGCGGGCUGCUUGCGCCGUGUGGACCUGCGCUUUAACAACUUGGGUCUACGUGGCCUGUCUGUUAUCAUCCCACAUGUGGCCCGCUUCCAGCACCUGGCCAGCCUGCGGCUGCACUAUGUGCACGGGGACUCCAGGCAGCCUUCUGUGGAUGGUGAGGACAACUUCCGUUACUUCCUGGCCCAGAUGGGCCGCUUCACUUGUCUGCGGGAGCUCAGCAUGGGCUCCUCUCUCCUCUCGGGACGGUUGGACCAGCUGCUCAGCACCCUGCAGAGCCCCCUGGAGAGCCUGGAGCUGGCCUUCUGUGCCCUGCUGCCCGAGGAUCUGCGCUUUCUGGCACGGAGCCCCCAUGCUGUCCAUCUCAAGAAGUUGGACCUUAGUGGCAAUGACCUGUCCGGCAGCCAACUAGAGCCUUUCCAGGGUCUGCUGCGGGCGGCUGCGGCCACACUGCUGCACCUGGAGCUGACUGAGUGCCAGCUUGCCGAUACCCAGCUGCUGGCCACGCUCCCUGUGCUGACGCGCUGCACCAGCCUCCGCUACCUCGGCCUCUAUGGCAACCCGCUGUCCAUGGCGGGCCUCAAGGAGCUCCUCCGGGAUUCAGUGGUGCAGGCUGAGCUACGCACAGUGGUGCACCCCUUCCCUGUGGACUGUUACGAAGGCCUGCCCUGGCCACCGCCUGCUUCUGUUCUGCUGGAGGCUUCCAUCAACGAGGAGAAGUUUGCUCGUGUGGAGGCUGAGCUGCACCAGCUGCUCCUGGCCUCAGGCCGUGCUCAUGUGCUGUGGACCACAGACAUUUAUGGGCGCCUGGCUGCAGACUACUUCAGCCUAUGACCUCCGGGCUGUCCUGGUGUUCAGGGCUGAUGGAGAUCCCUCCCUGCCUUAGGCCCUUCCCAAGAGCAGACUGCCCUGGGGUUGAAGUUGGAACAGGGACCUGCUUCAAGGAGAGCUGGGUCUCCCUACCCUGGCACCCAGGAGACCACCUGGCUGGGCUUUGGAGCCAGAAGGUGUCAUUAAGGUACAAACGUGCAGUGUGU